Molecule: ribosomal RNA, 256 nt
Filed under: uncultured bacterium
Lineage: Bacteria
Description: partial 16S ribosomal RNA
Rfam family: Bacterial small subunit ribosomal RNA
Source: RNAcentral
UUGCACCUACGGGGGGCAGCAGCGAGGAAUAUUGGUCAAUGGUCGGGAGACUGAACCAGCCAAGCCGCGUGAGGGAUGAAGGUACAGAGUAUCGUAAACCUCUUUUGUCAGGGAACAAAGGCGGGGACGUGUCCCCGGAUGAGUGUACCUGAAGAAAAAGCAUCGGCUAACUCCGUGCCAUCAGCCGCGGUAAUACGGAGGAUGCGAUCGUUAUCCGGAUUUAUUGGGUUUAAAGGGGGCGCAUGCGGUCUGUUAA